GACUAGAGAGAUUUGUGUCUGGGCUUCUAUCCCCUGUGCACACGGGGAGAUUGGUGUUUGAUUUGCAGCCACAUCUGAGAUUUGUGGAGCUUGUCACUGCUAGUGACUACAGCAGACUUGAGGUUAGUCAUCAGCUGUUUAUAAACUGCACUGUCCAUUCCUGCUGACUCGUCAAUACUAUGAGGAGGUGAACCUGAAAAGAGAGUGACCUGUUAUAUUUAACCAAACUUUCAAGGAAGAGCUUGAAACAAAUAACUCAAGGUGAUUUCAAGUGCUCAAUGGGUUUGCUUACCCAAGUGAUCUUUCUCAAGAACCAAUGUAAAUGGACAAUGACUUAUUCGACAUAAUGGCAACGAUGCCAGUUACAAGGGAUCAGCACACUACAAUCUAUUAGCCAAAUCUAGCUCACCACCCAUUUUUAGCUGUGUUCUCAGUCGCUUCAGUCAUGUCCAACUCUUUGCAAACUUAGCCUGCCAGGCUCCUCUGUACACCGGAUUCUCCAGCAAGAAUACAGGAGUGGGUUGCUGUGCCCUCCUCCAGGGGAUCUUCCCACCCCAGGAAUUGAACCCAUAUAUCUGGCAUCUCCGGCAUUGCCAGCAGGUUCUUUACCCGCUGAACUGCCUGGGAAGCCCUUCUUCCCUUUCCACUUCCCUCCAGUCAUACUGUCAUCAGAUCGUUCUCACAUUCUUCAAAGUUACAGAUUCUUUGCGUACUGUUAGGUAUAGGUUUUACUUCACUUGUAGGUGGUCUUGGGG
Bos taurus (domestic cattle) is the source of this 755-nucleotide long non-coding RNA. NCBI's taxonomy places the organism in Eukaryota, Metazoa, Chordata, Mammalia, Artiodactyla, Bovidae. The record is from Ensembl.